Molecule: non-coding RNA, 29 nt
Filed under: Rattus norvegicus (Norway rat)
Lineage: Eukaryota; Metazoa; Chordata; Mammalia; Rodentia; Muridae
Source: RNAcentral
UUCCAGAAUGCUGGGUUUAUGGACCGAGG